AAUUUAAUUAAUUUAUAAAAUAAAAUUAAUUAUUUUAUAUAAUUUAUAUAAAAAUUUUAAAUUUAAAUAUUUUUUUAAUUAAUUUUUAAUAUUAAUAUUUAAAUUAAAAAUUUAUUUAGUAAUAUAAUUUAAUUAAAAUAAAAAUUGUGCCAGCAAUUGCGGUUAUUCAAUUUUAAUUAAUUAAUUUUUAUAAAUAAAAAUAAUCAUAAUUUUAAAAUAUAAUAUAAUUUUAUUUUAGUAAAAUAAUUAAUUUUAAAAUAUUUUAAUAUUUAAAUUUUAACUUAUUUAAUUAAUAAACUAGGAUUAGAUACCCUAUUAUUAUAAAUAAUUAUAAUUAAAAUUUAAUUAUUAAUUGAAAACCAUUAAAGUAAUUAAUUUGACGGUAUUUUUAUUCAAUUUAAAGAAAUUUAAUUAUUAAUUGAUAAUACACAAUAAAAAAAACUUAAUUUUAUCUUAAAUACUUCUGUUAAGAAAUAUUUAAAAAAUUUAUUUCUAAAAUUUUAUUUAUAAAAUAAUUUCAAGUCAAAAUUUAGAAUAUAAUUAAGAUUAAUAGAAUUUCAAUAAUUUUAAAUAAUUUAUAUUUAAUUAUUAAAUAAAAAUUUAGAAUUUAAAAUUAAAUUUUUAAUAGUAUAAAAAUUAAAUUUAUUGAUUUAAAAUAGGUACAUAUCGCCCGUCAUUUUCUAUUGAAAAAAGUCGUAACAAAGUAAAUAUAUUGGAAAAUAUAUUUAGAAUAUU
RNAcentral lists this ribosomal RNA (735 nucleotides) under Macrocentrus camphoraphilus. RNAcentral's name for it is "12S ribosomal RNA". The record is from RNAcentral. Lineage: Eukaryota; Metazoa; Arthropoda; Insecta; Hymenoptera; Braconidae.